AGCUGGGGGGUCGGGAAGCACAGUUCCACCCCCCUCUGGGGGACGGCCGGGGCAGGGUGGCUGCUCCCCAAGAAAACGGAGCCCGGAACUAUCCGGACUCCGUUUGGCCUGAAACCGUCUAGGGGUAAGGCCGGGAGGCUGCUCAACUUGUCCACGGGCGGCAAGGAAAUAAAGGAACAACGAAAAGUUUCCUGCCAAGUGUCCAACACCCUCUGUUCUUUUUAUUUCGUGCUAGACUUGAGGCCGGGUUCGGAGAACGACGGCUCCUCCCCCAGGGCCCCGCGCCGAGCGCUGUCGUGGGGCUGCGAGCCCUGGCUGUGGAAAAGCCUUCUCGGCCGCGUCCUCCCUCCGGAUCCCGCAGGCCCGGCUCGGACGCCCCCUCCCCAUUCCAACAAACCCAUCAGCCCCGACUCAGCAGAGGCCCGCAGGAGGGCGCGCAGCCUAGGUCUCGCCCAGCGUGGCCCUGCGCCGCCUUUCACGGCACGCAGCUCGUGGGCCUUAAAGGCCGUUCCGGCCCGCGCAGGCACCCCUUUAGCGCUUCCAAUGAAACGCGGAGCCGAGCCCGACCCGCCGGCCUGUGCCGUGGCCCCUCAGGUGCGGAGGACCGGCAGGCCUGGGCACCUGGGCUACAGGGCUUCCCGGACGCUGCCCUCAGCCGACCCAGCCAGUCGCGUCGCGCGGCCCGUUGUGGCUCACGCGGCUGUCGCCAGUGCGGCUCGAGGCCCAGGCGCCGGGUUGCCGCCUCCCCAAUUCCCUGAGGAGGGUUCUGCGCGGCCCAGGGUCCGUCUUGGCUGCCAGGUGGAACCAAACAGGGAGACCCGGUUUUGCACUCGCUCGGACGACCGUGUGGCCUCCGGAGCAAGGAUGGGAUGGUGGGAUGAUGGUGCCCAAGAAAGAACUUCAGUGACUCUGUGAAUUUAACAAGGGUAGCUGUGGAUACACGAAAAUGCAGUCUCAAAAGGACAGUCUGAUACUUCCCAGAGGUUGGCCUGAGACAUCUGGUACUUAGGAGAGACUGGUUAAUAACAGGUAAUCUAUAUAUCUAACUUUGUAACUUCUGGGUUAAUUAAACCACCAGCAAGGAAUGUAGAGAGAACAUACAACCUUUCCAUAGAAAUGCCUUCACUGAAUUAUGAUUUAAUAUAAUUCCUUGAAUUUAUACAAAAGAACUAUAAGAAAAAUCCAUAGGAAUAGGAUUUCUGUCUUUUUCAAAACUUUACUAAGAACACAUUUAGUUGUUUUUCAGUUUGUAACACAAGUAUUCUUAAGUGUUAGUAUAGUGCUAGAAAAAUGUUUGUAUUGAGACAGACGUACUGUUGCAUAUUUAAAAACAUUCAGAGCACUGUUUUGGAGUUUACAGAAUGCUUUCAUACUACCUAAUUUGAUUUAAUUCAUGUGAUAGUGUUAAAUAGAAUUAUAAUUUUACAGAUGAAGAAACAGGCAUGGGGUAUGAAGCAGUGAGGAUAAAUCCUGCAUUUCUUUCUUUAUACCAUGAUGCUUCCCAAAGGAAAAUCUGUUUUCCUUUUUUUGCAUUGUCAUCCCAAAUUCAAAGCAAAACUCAAUUU
Oryctolagus cuniculus (rabbit) is the source of this 1565-nucleotide long non-coding RNA. The record is from Ensembl. Lineage: Eukaryota; Metazoa; Chordata; Mammalia; Lagomorpha; Leporidae.